Molecule: unclassified non-coding RNA, 172 nt
Filed under: Agaricales sp.
Lineage: Eukaryota; Fungi; Basidiomycota; Agaricomycetes; Agaricales
Also listed under: 2 other names
Description: partial internal transcribed spacer 2
Source: RNAcentral
AAUUCUCAACCUUAUCAGUUUAUUUCUGAUAGUGGCUUGGAUGUGGGGUUGCUGGCUUGGUCAGCUCCCCUUAAAUGCAUUAGCUGGUGCCCUGUGUACUUGGUGUGAUAAUUAUCUACGCCAUGGAUUAGCACUGCUUCUAACCGUCUGUUAAUUCGGACAAUAGAUGACA